Molecule: ribosomal RNA, 492 nt
Filed under: uncultured bacterium
Lineage: Bacteria
Description: partial 16S ribosomal RNA
Rfam family: Bacterial small subunit ribosomal RNA
Source: RNAcentral
AGUGAACGCUGGCGGUAGGCCUAACACAUGCAAGUCGAACGGCAGCACAGUAGGAGCUUGCUCUUACGGGUGGCGGGUGGCGGACGGGUGAGGAAUACAUCGGAAUCUACUUUUUCGUGGGGGAUAACGUAGGGAAACUUACGCUAAUACCGCAUACGACCUACGGGUGAAAGCAGGGGAUCUUCGGACCUUGCGCGAUUGAAUGAGCCGAUGUCGGAUUAGCUAGUUGGCGGGGUAAAGGCCCACCAAGGCGACGAUCCGUAGCUGGUCUGAGAGGAUGAUCAGCCACACUGGAACUGAGACACGGUCCAGACUCCUACGGGAGGCAGCAGUGGGGAAUAUUGGACAAUGGGCGCAAGCCUGAUCCAGCCAUACCGCGUGGGUGAAGAAGGCCUUCGGGUUGUAAAGCCCUUUUGUUGGGAAAGAAAAGCAGCAGGUUAAUACCCCGCUGUUCUGACGGUACCCAAAGAAUAAGCACCGGCUAACUUCGUG